AUGGAGUCAUGUAGCGUUGCCAGGAUAACGAGCCUAGGGAAGCUUGCUAUGCACCGGACAUAUUUGUGCACCCUGAUCUUCAGAACUUUGCCAAAGAUGCUAGGCUUCACUUCCAGUUCACUGGAGAGAUUCUGCAAAGCUGAACAUGUUGAGCUACAACUGACCAAGAAGACUACACUGGGCACAUUGCCGGAGCUGCCUCCGGAUGUUUUGAUGGGCAUCUUUGCCACCCUUGAGAUCCCUGACCUCGUGCGUGCCGGCUCUGUCUGCCCAUCCUGGCGCUCCGCAUACACAAGCCUACGGAGCCUUGGGCAGUACAAACUCCAGCAGACGCCAUGUCUCCUCUACACUUCCAAAUCCACUGGUGAGAGUGUCGCAUGCCUCUACAGCCUCGCAGAGAAGCGAUCGUACAAGUUAACCCUCCCGGAGCCGCCUAUCCGUACUAGGUGUUUGAUCGGGUCCUCACAUGGAUGGCUGAUAACUGCUGAUGAGAGAUCUGAGAUGCACCUCGUCAAUCCGGUCACAUGUGAACAGAUUGCUCUCCCUUCAGUGAUCACCAUUGAGCAGGUGAGGCCCAUCUUUGAUGAGCAUGGUGCUGUCCACAAGUAUGAACUCUCAUGGCACACUGGAAUGCACGAUGGUUAUAACUCGCCGACAAUCUUUGCUCUUGACAACCUGCGGCACGAACUCCACUAUAAGGCGUAUGUGUUCUCCGAUGCAUCCACGGAAAGCUUCAUUGUGGUGCUCAUCCACAAUCCAAUGCGUCAGCUCUCUUAUGCAAGGGUAGGGGAUGACAAGUGGACCUGGCUGCCACCUUAUGAUAUCUAUGAUGACUGCACUUACAAGAAUGGCCUAUUGUAUGCAGCGACUGCAACUGGAGAAAUUCAUGCUUUUGAUCUUAGUGGGCCUGUCGCCAGUAUGAAGAUAAUUAUGGGGGCAUCUGAGAAUAUUUCAGCUGGCAGUGCGUACAUUGUUCAAGCUCCCUGGGGUGAUCUGCUGCUUAUUUGGAGAAUCUUCGGCGAUUAUGAUUUAGAACCUGAACCUGGGGCAUCUGUGUUUUGGCAAACAGGCAGAAUUAAUAUGUAUGAAGUUGACUUGGUGGCAAGUAAACUUAAGGCAAUCAAUUCGUUGCGUUCCCAUGUGUUAUUUCUUGGGCAUAAUCAAUCUCUUUGUCUCAAUGCUGAAGAAUAUCCAGCUCUCAAGGCAAAUCAUGUCUACUUUACUGAUGAUAGUUUUUUCUGGACAACGGGAUUGAAGAAUAAUCACCGUGACAUGGGAGUUCUUGAUUUGGAUGAUAAUAGCAGGGAGGAAAUUAUAUCUCCUCAUCUUUGCUCCAACUUUCCGGCUCCUAUGUGGAUUACGGCUGAUCUUAGAAAGAUGAACUUGGCAUCAGUAGGGGCAGCUUGA
RNAcentral lists this ribosomal RNA (1407 nucleotides) under Triticum aestivum (bread wheat). Its description in RNAcentral is "partial small subunit ribosomal RNA". Lineage: Eukaryota; Viridiplantae; Streptophyta; Magnoliopsida; Poales; Poaceae. The record is from RNAcentral.